GAUGAAGAACGUAGCGAAAUGCGAUACUUGGUGUGAAUUGCAGAAUCCCGUGAACCAUCGAGUCUUUGAACGCAAGUUGCGCCUCAAGCCAUAGGUUGAGGGCACGUCUGCCUGGGCGUCACAUAUCGUUGCCUGAUGCCAGUUUCCUCGUGAUGGGUGACUGUGCAGGGCGAAUGAUGGCUUCCCGUGAGCAUUGUUGCCUCAUGGUUGGUUGAAAAUUGAGUCCUUGGUAGGGAGCGCCGUGAUAGAUGGUGGUUGAGUGACGAACGAGACCCAAUCAUGUGAGACCCCUACCGAAUUUGGCCUUCAUGACCCACAUGCGUCUUUGGAACGCUCAUGACGAGACCUCAGGUCAGGCGGGGCUACCCGCUGAGUUUAAGCAUAUAAAUAAGCGGAGGA
Molecule: unclassified non-coding RNA, 399 nt
Filed under: soil metagenome
Description: partial contains 5.8S ribosomal RNA, internal transcribed spacer 2, and large subunit ribosomal RNA
Rfam family: 5.8S ribosomal RNA (bases 1-121)
Source: RNAcentral